Molecule: ribosomal RNA, 760 nt
Filed under: uncultured Prevotella sp.
Lineage: Bacteria; Pseudomonadati; Bacteroidota; Bacteroidia; Bacteroidales; Prevotellaceae
Description: bacterial SSU rRNA
Rfam family: Bacterial small subunit ribosomal RNA
Source: RNAcentral
GAUGAACGCUGGCUACAGGCUUAACACAUGCAAGUCGAGGGGAAACGACGGGGAAGCUUGCUUCCCCGGGCGUCGACCGGCGCACGGGUGAGUAACGCGUAUCCAACCUGCCUCUGACUGAGGGAUAACCCGUCGAAAGUCGGCCUAAUACCUCAUGGCAUCGUCUGCGGGCAUCCAACGACGAUUAAAGAUUUCAUCGGUCAGGGAUGGGGAUGCGUCUGAUUAGCUUGUUGGCGGGGUAACGGCCCACCAAGGCUACGAUCAGUAGGGGUUCUGAGAGGAAGGUCCCCCACAUUGGAACUGAGACACGGUCCAAACUCCUACGGGAGGCAGCAGUGAGGAAUAUUGGUCAAUGGGCGAGAGCCUGAACCAGCCAAGUAGCGUGCAGGAAGACGGCCCUAUGGGUUGUAAACUGCUUUUAUGCGGGGAUAAAGUGAGGGACGUGUCCUUCAUUGCAGGUACCGCAUGAAUAAGGACCGGCUAAUUCCGUGCCAGCAGCCGCGGUAAUACGGAAGGUCCUGGCGUUAUCCGGAUUUAUUGGGUUUAAAGGGAGCGUAGGCCGUGGAUUAAGCGUGUUGUGAAAUGCAGGUGCUCAACGUCUGCACUGCAGCGCGAACUGGUCCACUUGAGUGUGCGCAACGCAGGCGGAAUUCGUCGUGUAGCGGUGAAAUGCUUAGAUAUGACGAAGAACUCCGACUGCGAAGGCAGCUUGCGGGAGCACAACUGACGCUGAAGCUCGAAAGUGCGGGUAUCGAACAGG